Long non-coding RNA from Apis cerana (Asiatic honeybee), 1600 nucleotides. RefSeq lists it as uncharacterized. The record is from RefSeq and is a predicted model, not a curated record. Lineage: Eukaryota; Metazoa; Arthropoda; Insecta; Hymenoptera; Apidae.
GAAAAUUUGAUAUAAUAUAUAAAUAAUAUUAUAUAAUAUUGAAUAUUUAAUAAUAAUAAUAAUAAUAUAAUAUUUAGAAUUUUAUAUACUAUAAAUUUUGAAUUUAUGUUUAUUAUAUAACAUAUCAGAUCAGCUUAGGUUAGGUUAGAUUAGGUUAAAUUUAAUUUAUGUUAAACUGAAAUAAGAUGUGUAACGAAUCGUCGUAAUUUUAUUUAUGUCUUGAUUGGGAAUGAGAUUAUAUAAAAAGAGAUAUAGAUUUUAAAUCAAUUUUAUUAUUAAGUUGUAAAUGAAAAUUAAAAUUGACAUGAUAUUUGGAAUGUUAUGUAUUACAAAUUUUAAAUUUAUGUUUAUCAUAUGAUGCAUCAAGUUAAGUUUAGGUUACGUUAUUACAAUUUAAUCAAGUUAAGUUAUUUCCUUAUUACAUCAGGUUAGAUUAUUACUUUUUCAUUAGAUUAUUACUAUUUUAUUAUAUUAUUAAAUAUCUUAUAUUUAGCUUCAACUCUCGAAGGAUGACUGAAUGCUCAUUACUGGUAACCUAGCGAUCCACGCUCCGCCAUUUUCUCAAUCAACAAUCGAGAUCAACCUCGAAACCUUCUCUAACCUCAAACAUCGAUCAAUUCUCGUCAACGUUCCCGCAAAAGGGAACGCAACGCGUGGCACGACUUUUACAAAGAUUUCCGUGGCAUGGCGUCUUGCACAAUCUUCUCGAAUCGUCAUAAAUCAUGUCGACGGAUUGCGUGGGCGGCUAUGGAACACGCUCUAACCCCUUUCCAAGUGAUGCAUAGUAACAUUUUAUAGGAUUUUUACGCACCGUCACAAUUCAUCCGUUAAUGACACCGACAUUGGUAAAAGUAUAAUAAUAAUAAUAAUUAUUUUUUUUUUAUUCCUUUUUCCUUUUUUCGAGCGAACAUUAAUCAAGCGUGAAUAUAUAUCGAAUCGUUAUGGUUUUUUAUAAUUUAAUUUAUGCGUUUUUUAUUUAUUAAUUUCGAACAUUAAAACUUUUGUAAUUUAUAUAACUUUUUAUUGCAAGAUUUUUUUUUUUUUUUAAUAUUACUUCUCACUUUCUUUUUGAUAUUUUAUGUAAUGUGUAAUUUAUAAAUAUUAUAGUCGUGAAAUUAAAUUUAGCUUGACAAUUUAUUUAUUUAUCUUUUUAACUUUUUAAUCGAUCAGAUGAGUCUCUUUUGCAAGUGUCGAUCAAGCUUAAAUUUGAAAAUCGUCAAUUAAAUAAGAUUGUGUAACACGAAAUCAAAGAUUCGCGAAUUUCUAGCAUUCAAUGCAAUCAAAGAAAUGCGAGUAUGUAAUUAUAUUGGUGAAAAUAUAACGAAAAUGUAACGAGAGUACAAAAAAAAAGGCGAACUCACUCAUUAUGUACACGCAAUCUGGCAUUCCGUGUGUCGAACGUAUAAAGAGCGCCUCUUAAAAGUGUGUUCAGUAUGGACGAAAAAUCUGCUUGAUAAAAUGGACUUACCUGAAACAAAGGAAAAAAAAACAUUUAAAAAUAUUAUUGAAAUAUGUACAUAUAUAUAUAUUUAUUACAUAUGUAUUCUUCCCUAAUGCAACUUCUUCGAUUGUUAAUAAAAUAAAAAAAUUAUAAUUAAUA